Molecule: ribosomal RNA, 990 nt
Filed under: Triticum aestivum (bread wheat)
Lineage: Eukaryota; Viridiplantae; Streptophyta; Magnoliopsida; Poales; Poaceae
Description: partial small subunit ribosomal RNA
Source: RNAcentral
AUGGCGACUGCAUCUGACGCCCAGUCGGCGACAAGCGGUGGUGCUAGGGGGACGAACCCUAGCAAUCUUGAUGACUUCUUCAAUCAACUCGACCUGAAUGGAGAAAGCUUUGAUGACCUCGUGAUCGACGAGGAGGAUUCGGAAAUCAAUGAAAGCGUACGUUGGCUGGCCCUAGCUAGGGUUCAUACGGACAAAAAUUUCAGCCAUGCUGCCUUUUUCAAGGAUAUGAGCGCAGCAUGGAAUACAGCGCAGGUGGUUCGCUUCCGCCCUGUCGGUACUAACCUCUUCGUGAUCCAAGCCUCGCGCCUCGGCGACUGGGAGAGAAUUAUGGAGAGGGGACCUUGGCUCUUCAGGAACAUGGCAGUCCUCUUGCAGCCAUAUGACGGAUUCAGUAAGACUGAGGAGGUGGAGAUUGUCUAUAUGCCAAUCUGGCUGCAGAUUCACAAACUACCCGAUGGGUACUGCAAGAGGGAACUUGUAGAGAAAUUAAUCAAAGGAGCAGGCAAGGUGCUGGAGGUGAGGAUGCAAGGCAAUGCCCGUAGGGAUUACAUCAGAGUAAGAGUCAGACAUGAUGUCCGGGAACCUCUGACCAAAUUCUUCAGUAUAAUCAGAGGGAAAGAGCAUCAAGUAUUUGCGGUCAGAUAUGAGAAGCUGGCAAAAUUCUGUAAAUUUUGUGGCAGAGUUGGGCAUGAUUACAAGGAGUGUGGGAGUGGUGUAUAUGAACCAAAAGAUUUAAAGUUUGGGGAUUGGCUAUAUGCUGAUCCACCAAAUUACUCCCGUGAAGCAAAGAACGGUGGUGCAGGGAACACAUAUAAGGAGGCCUCUCAUGUUGGAGGCCAGGGAGUCAGCAAGAAAGAUGUUGAAUUGAUGGAUACAACUACUAGCCCUAUUAAGAAGCAGAACACCCAUGGUGUGGACAGUGAGAAAAAUGCUAGGAAAAGGUUGAACAUGGAUGGAAGCACGAAUGCCAAUGUCUCUGGAAAGGAAUAA